UCUUUCUAGUACUAAGUAGUAUAAGUGGCUUCCAACCACACGGUCUUGGUUAAAGUCCAAGGAAAGAU
RNAcentral lists this transfer RNA (68 nucleotides) under Pollachius virens (saithe). RNAcentral describes it as "transfer RNA-Gly". It matches the Rfam family "tRNA". Rfam says of the family: Transfer RNA (tRNA) molecules are approximately 80 nucleotides in length. Their secondary structure includes four short double-helical elements and three loops (D, anti-codon, and T loops). The record is from RNAcentral. Lineage: Eukaryota; Metazoa; Chordata; Actinopteri; Gadiformes; Gadidae.